UACGUAUGGAGCAAGCGUUAUCCGGAUUUACUGGGUGUAAAGGGAGCGUAGACGGCGUGGCAAGUCUGAUGUGAAAGGUGGGGGCUCAACCCCCAGACUGCAUUGGAAACUGCCGUGCUGGAGUGCCGGAGGGGUAAGCGGAAUUCCUAGUGUAGCGGUGAAAUGCGUAGAUAUUAGGAGGAACACCGGCGGCGAAGGCGGCUUACUGGACGGCAACUGACGUUGAGGCUCGAAAGCGUGGGGAGCAAAC
This 250-nucleotide ribosomal RNA is filed under the name uncultured prokaryote. RNAcentral's name for it is "partial 16S ribosomal RNA". It matches the Rfam family "Bacterial small subunit ribosomal RNA", at positions 524 to 773 of the family's 1533-position model. The record is from RNAcentral.